UUUGAUCAUGGCUCAGAGCGAACGCUGGCGGCAGGCUUAACACAUGCAAGUCGAACGGGCACUUCGGUGCUAGUGGCAGACGGGUGAGUAACGCGUGGGAACGUGCCUUUCGGUUCGGAAUAAUCCAGGGAAACUUGGACUAAUACCGGAUACGCCCUUCGGGGGAAAGAUUUAUCGCCGAAAGAUCGGCCCGCGUCUGAUUAGCUAGUUGGUGAGGUAAAGGCUCACCAAGGCGACGAUCAGUAGCUGGUCUGAGAGGAUGAUCAGCCACAUUGGGACUGAGACACGGCCCAAACUCCUACGGGAGGCAGCAGUGGGAAUAUUGGACAAUGGGCGCAAGCCUGAUCCAGCCAUGCCGCGUGAGUGAUGAAGGCCUUAGGGUUGUAAAGCUCUUUUGUCCGGGAAGAUAAUGACUGUACCGGAAGAAUAAGCCCCGGCUAACUUCGUG
This 448-nucleotide ribosomal RNA is filed under the name uncultured bacterium. Its description in RNAcentral is "bacterial SSU rRNA". It matches the Rfam family "Bacterial small subunit ribosomal RNA", at positions 12 to 507 of the family's 1533-position model. The record is from RNAcentral.